Molecule: ribosomal RNA, 235 nt
Filed under: uncultured bacterium
Lineage: Bacteria
Description: partial 16S ribosomal RNA
Rfam family: Bacterial small subunit ribosomal RNA
Source: RNAcentral
UACGUAGGGUGCGAGCGUUAAUCGGAAUUACUGGGCGUAAAGCGUGCGCAGGCGGUUUUGUAAGCCAGAUGUGAAAGCCCCGGGCUUAACCUGGGAAUGGCAUUUGGGACUGCAAGGCUUGAGUGCGGCAGAGGAGACUGGAAUUCCUGGUGUAGCAGUGAAAUGCGUAGAUAUCAGGAGGAAUACCGAUGGCGAAGGCAGGUCGUCUGGGCUGACACUGACGCUCAUGCACGAA